RNAcentral lists this ribosomal RNA (486 nucleotides) under uncultured bacterium. Its description in RNAcentral is "partial 16S ribosomal RNA". It matches the Rfam family "Bacterial small subunit ribosomal RNA", at positions 30 to 507 of the family's 1533-position model. The record is from RNAcentral.
AUUGAACGCUGGCGGCAUGCCUUACACAUGCAAGUCGAACGGCAGCACGGGUGCUUGCACCUGUUGGCGAGUGGCGAACGGGUGAGUAAUACAUCGGAACAUGUCCUGUAGUGGGGGAUAGCCCGGCGAAAGCCGGAUUAAUACCGCAUACGAUCCACGGAUGAAAGCGGGGGACCUUCGGGCCUCGCGCUAUAGGGUUGGCCGAUGGCUGAUUAGCUAGUUGGUGGGGUAAAGUCCUACCAAGGCGACGAUCAGUAUCUGGUCUGAGAGGACGACCAGCCACACUGGGACUGAGACACGGCCCAGACUCCUACGGGAGGCAGCAGUGGGGAAUUUUGGACAAUGGGCGAAAGCCUGAUCCAGCAAUGCCGCGUGUGUGAAGAAGGCCUUCGGGUUGUAAAGCACUUUUGUCCGGAAAGAAAUCCUUGACUCUAAUACAGUCGGGGGAUGACGGUACCGGAAGAAUAAGCACCGGCUAACUACGUG